Molecule: non-coding RNA, 188 nt
Filed under: Pseudoalteromonas sp.
Lineage: Bacteria; Pseudomonadati; Pseudomonadota; Gammaproteobacteria; Alteromonadales; Pseudoalteromonadaceae
Also listed under: 1 other name
Source: RNAcentral
AUAUUUGGGGCGUAAUUAGGUGACUAUUGUUUUUUCUAAAACAAUGUUUAAACGGGAAUCCAGUUUAAAUCUGGAACUGCCCCCGCAACGGUAACUGUGAGCGACAACCACCACUGUCUUCUUGAUGGGAAGGUGCUGUCAACGCGAUGAUCAGGAGUCCGGAGACCGGCCUAGUUCACUCGAGUACU